Molecule: long non-coding RNA, 384 nt
Filed under: Cucumis sativus (cucumber)
Lineage: Eukaryota; Viridiplantae; Streptophyta; Magnoliopsida; Cucurbitales; Cucurbitaceae
Description: long non-coding RNA (CSAT_LNC002306)
Source: RNAcentral
GAUAAUGCUUCAUCGUAGCAAGAUAAAUCUAGAUGAUUUGAGGUUUUCAUUUUGGUAUCAUCAUCCAGUUGAGAUUUUCCUAGAGCUAGAUGAAAAUUAAUAGAACUUGGGCCACAAUCCAGCAACUCUGCAUCCAAACUAUCAAGUGUGUGCACUUCUUCCAUUACCAAAUCAGGGGCAUCAAAUGCAUUUUCCUGAUUGAAAUCAGUCCUAAUCAUUGUAUUGCCUUUUUCAGAUUCCCCUGUAAUUGCAAGUGCAUCAACGUUAACAAUAUCAAUUGAAGAAUCACCUAACUCACAUCCUACACUGGAGGAACUUUCUAAAACCCGAAGCAUUUCCUUUAGAGUAACAUCUACAUUUUCUUUAAUAACCUCCAUCACCAAC